RNAcentral lists this ribosomal RNA (497 nucleotides) under uncultured bacterium. RNAcentral's name for it is "bacterial SSU rRNA". It matches the Rfam family "Bacterial small subunit ribosomal RNA", at positions 899 to 1397 of the family's 1533-position model. The record is from RNAcentral.
ACUCAAAGGAAUUGACGGGGACCCGCACAAGCAGCGGAGCAUGUGGUUUAAUUCGAAGCAACGCGAAAAACCUUACCAAGACUUGACAUCGCAUGACCGCCAUAGAGAUAUGGCUUUCUCUUCAGAGACAUGUAGACAGGUGGUGCAUGGUUGUCGUCAGCUCGUGUCGUGAGAUGUUGGGUUAAGUCCCGCAACGAGCGCAACCCUUAUCAAUAGUUGCCAAUAUUAAGUUAGGAACUCUAUUGAGACUGCCGUGGAUAACACGGAGGAAGGUGAGGAUGACGUCAAAUCAUCAUGCCCCUUACGUCUUGGGCUACACACGUGCUACAAUGGCUAUUACAAAGAGCCGCAAGCAGGUAACUGUGAGCAAAUCUCAUAAAAAUAGUCUCAGUUCGGAUUGUGGGCUGCAACUCGCCCACAUGAAGUCGGAGUUGCUAGUAAUCCCGAAUCAGAACGUCGGGGUGAAUGCGUUCCCGGGUCUUGUACACACCGCCCGU